AUGAACGCUGGCGGCGUGCCUAAUACAUGCAAGUCGAGCGAACGGACGAGAAGCUUGCUUCUCUGAUGUUAGCGGCGGACGGGUGAGUAACACGUGGAUAACCUACCUAUAAGACUGGGAUAACUUCGGGAAACCGUAGCUAAUACCGGAUAAUAUUUUGAACCGCAUGGUUCAAAAGUGAAAGACGGUCUUGCUGUCACUUAUAGAUGGAUCCGCGCUGCAUUAGCUAGUUGGUAAGGUAACGGCUUACCAGGGCAACGAUGCAUAGCCGACCUGAGAGGGUGAUCGGCCACACUGGAACUGAGACACGGUCCAGACUCCUACGGGAGGCAGCAGUAGGGAAUCUUCCGCAAUGGGCGAAAGCCUGACGGAGCAACGCCGCGUGAGUGAUGAAGGUCUUCGGAUCGUAAAACUCUGUUAUUAGGGAAGAACAUAUGUGUAAGUAACUGUGCACAUCUUGACGGUACCUAAUCAGAAAGCCACGGCUAACUACGUG
This 496-nucleotide ribosomal RNA is filed under the name uncultured bacterium. RNAcentral describes it as "partial 16S ribosomal RNA". It matches the Rfam family "Bacterial small subunit ribosomal RNA", at positions 29 to 507 of the family's 1533-position model. The record is from RNAcentral.